This 465-nucleotide ribosomal RNA is filed under the name uncultured bacterium. RNAcentral's name for it is "partial 16S ribosomal RNA". It matches the Rfam family "Bacterial small subunit ribosomal RNA", at positions 28 to 507 of the family's 1533-position model. The record is from RNAcentral.
GACGAACGCUGGCGGCGUGCUUAACACAUGCAAGUCGAACGGUAAGGCUCCAGCUUGCUGGGGUACACGAGUGGCGAACGGGUGAGUAACACGUGGGUGACCUGCCCUGCACUUCGGGAUAAGCCUGGGAAACUGGGUCUAAUACCGUAUAGGACCGCACCGUGAGGGUGUGGUGGUAAGUUUUUUCGGUGUGGGAUGGGCCCGCGGCCUAUCAGCUUGUUGGUGGGGUAAUGGCCUACCAAGGCGGCGACGGGUAGCCGGCCUGAGAGGGUGGACGGCCACAUGGGGACUGAGACACGGCCCAGACUCCUACGGGAGGCAGCAGGGGGGAAUAUUGCACAAUGGGCGGAAGCCUGAUGCAGCGACGCCGCGUGGGGGAUGACGGCCUUCGGGUUGUAAACUCCUUUCGCCAUCGACGAAGGGUUUCUGACGGUAGAUGGAGAAGAAGCACCGGCUAACUACGUG